This 459-nucleotide ribosomal RNA is filed under the name uncultured bacterium. RNAcentral's name for it is "partial 16S ribosomal RNA". It matches the Rfam family "Bacterial small subunit ribosomal RNA", at positions 338 to 795 of the family's 1533-position model. The record is from RNAcentral.
CCUACGUGAGGCAGCAGUGAGGAAUAUUGGUCAAUGGGCGCGAGCCUGAACCAGCCAAGUAGCGUGAAGGAUGACUGCCCUACGGGUUGUAAACUUCUUUUAUAAAGGAAUAAAGUGAGGCACGUGUGCCUUUUGUAUGUACUUUAUGAAUAAGGAUCGGCUAACUCCGUGCCAGCAGCCGCGGUAAUACGGAGAAUCCGAGCGUUAUCCGGAUUUAUUGGGUUUAAAGGGAGCGUAGAUGGGUUGUUAAGUCAGUUGUGAAAGUUUGCGGCUCAACUGUAAAAUUGCAAUUUAUACUGGCAGUCUUGAGUACAGUUGAGGUAGGCGGAAUUCGUGGUGUAGCGGUGAAAUGCUUAGAUAGCACGAAGAACCCCGAUUGCGAAGGCAGCUUACUAAACUGUGACUGACAUUGAUGCUCGAAAGUGUGGGUAUCAAACAGGAUUAGAUACCCUUGUAGUC